AUGGCGGCGAAGGUGCUCCAGCUCCGUAGCUCCGACGGCAAGGUGCUCGUCGCUCCGGCGUGGGACUAUCGCCCCACCGCCGCCCAAGCCCGCCCGCUGGAGAUGCGGGUGCCCUCGCGCGUCCUCGAGAGGGUGCUCCAGUACUGGACCAAGCACAGCCUUGCCAAGGCAACCGGUGAGUCCCGGGAGUCCCUCGCCCGCUGGGACGGCGACUUCCAGCGCCGUCUCGAGGAAGACGGCCUCGCCAAGGAGGCUGCCGCAGCCGCCCAAGAACUCCGCCGCUACGGCGUCGACCAUGGAGGGCGUCCCCAUCGCUACGCCGCCACGGCCACAUCUGAUGUCGCUGCUCCUGCCAAGGCGGCCCGUGCUGAUCCCAUCCGUGUCUGGUGUGUCAACCACGGAGAACGCAGCCAUGCGCCGGCGAUGCCCGGCUCCUUCGAUGCCUCCGCCGCGCGCCCAGGGCCUGCCACCACCUUGCCGGCUGCUGCUGGUGCUGACCCCGUGGAUGUCCGGUGCGCGAUCCGUGCCCGUGGACGCCAGAUGGCUGAAGACGAGGAGUCCGCUUGCCACCACCGCAAGCGCCCAUCUUCCAAGGCUCCACUCUGCCUGACUGCCACUGCUGUUGCGCCCGUGAAGAAGGUCUCUCGUCCCGUCGCUUCCAAGGCUCGCUCUUUCGUCGGCUCAACACCAUUGCCAGUCACUGCUGCUGUGCCCAGUGUGAAGAAGGCGACUCCAGCUUCAACUCUACGCGCAAGAAGGGGGAUGGGGGAGCUCAGCUGCAAGGUUCCGAAGCAAAACCGUGUCACCGCUGCAGCACCAAUGAAGCAACCAAUUGCUUGGCUGCGUCCAGUGGUAUUACGCCCUUGCUAG
This 870-nucleotide ribosomal RNA is filed under the name Triticum aestivum (bread wheat). Its description in RNAcentral is "partial small subunit ribosomal RNA". The record is from RNAcentral. Lineage: Eukaryota; Viridiplantae; Streptophyta; Magnoliopsida; Poales; Poaceae.